Molecule: non-coding RNA, 166 nt
Filed under: Burkholderia multivorans ATCC 17616
Lineage: Bacteria; Pseudomonadati; Pseudomonadota; Betaproteobacteria; Burkholderiales; Burkholderiaceae
Description: Burkholderia sRNA 7
Rfam family: Burkholderia sRNA 7
About the family: Did not show any change in expression in iron-depletion and hydrogen peroxide (oxidative stress) treatment. Constitutively expressed.
Source: Rfam by way of RNAcentral
UUAUGCUUGCGCACAUGAACCGCUUCCUGUCCGCUCUCCGACGUCGCCGCUCGCCGCUCCGCCCGGAUGCCGCCGGCUCGUCACGGACUCGCGCGUAACCCGCCCCGCUUCACCGGUUACGCACAAGCUGUUCGAUCCACCAGCCACGGCAUUCCGUGGCUUUUUU